This 250-nucleotide ribosomal RNA is filed under the name uncultured bacterium. Its description in RNAcentral is "partial 16S ribosomal RNA". It matches the Rfam family "Bacterial small subunit ribosomal RNA", at positions 524 to 773 of the family's 1533-position model. The record is from RNAcentral.
UACGAAGGGUGCAAGCGUUACUCGGAAUUACUGGGCGUAAAGCGUGCGUAGGUGGUUUGUUAAGUCUGAUGUGAAAGCCCCGGGCUCAACCUGGGAAUUGCAUUCAAAACUGGCAGACUAGAGUAUGUGAGAGGGGGGUAGAAUUCCAAGUGUAGCGGUGAAAUGCGUAGAGAUUUGGAGGAAUACCAGUGGCGAAGGCGGCCCCCUGGCACAAUACUGACGCUGAGGUGCGAAAGCGUGGGGAUCAAAC